RNAcentral lists this ribosomal RNA (253 nucleotides) under uncultured bacterium. RNAcentral describes it as "partial 16S ribosomal RNA". It matches the Rfam family "Bacterial small subunit ribosomal RNA", at positions 524 to 776 of the family's 1533-position model. The record is from RNAcentral.
UACGUAGGGGGCGAGCGUUGUCCGGAUUUAUUGGGCGUAAAGAGCUCGUAGGCGGUUUGGUAAGUUGGAUGUGAAAUCUCCAGGCUCAACUUGGAGAGGUCAUUCGAUACUGCGGGGCUAGAGUGCAGAAGGGGCAACUGGAAUUCUCGGUGUAGCGGUGAAAUGCGUAGAUAUCGAGAGGAACACCUGCGGCGAAGGCGGGUUGCUGGGCUGACACUGACGCUGAGGCGCGAAAGCUAGGGGAGCGAACGGG